RNAcentral lists this non-coding RNA (30 nucleotides) under Rattus norvegicus (Norway rat). Lineage: Eukaryota; Metazoa; Chordata; Mammalia; Rodentia; Muridae. The record is from RNAcentral.
UNGGAGCUCUAGGUUGGUUUUCAAACCCCA